Non-coding RNA from Dipodomys ordii (Ord's kangaroo rat), 70 nucleotides. The record is from Rfam. NCBI's taxonomy places the organism in Eukaryota, Metazoa, Chordata, Mammalia, Rodentia, Heteromyidae.
GGGAAUGGGGCUCAGUGGUAGAGUGCUUGUCUAGCAUACAUGAAACCCUGGAUUCAAUUCCUUAGUCCCA